This 227-nucleotide ribosomal RNA is filed under the name uncultured bacterium. RNAcentral's name for it is "partial 16S ribosomal RNA". It matches the Rfam family "Bacterial small subunit ribosomal RNA", at positions 524 to 747 of the family's 1533-position model. The record is from RNAcentral.
UACGUAGGGUGCAAGCGUUGUCCGGAAUUAUUGGGCGUAAGAGCUCGUAGGCGGUCUGUCGCGUCUGCUGUGAAAACUCAGGGCUUAACCCUGAGCUUGCAGUGGGUACGGGCAGACUAGAGUGCGGUAGGGGAGACUGGAAUUCCGUGGUGAUAGCGGUGAAAUGCGCAGAUAUCGAGGAGGAACACCGGUGGCGAAGGCGGGUCUCUGGGCCGAUAACUGACACU